RNAcentral lists this transfer RNA (73 nucleotides) under Geobacteraceae bacterium. RNAcentral describes it as "tRNA-Thr". It matches the Rfam family "tRNA". Rfam says of the family: Transfer RNA (tRNA) molecules are approximately 80 nucleotides in length. Their secondary structure includes four short double-helical elements and three loops (D, anti-codon, and T loops). The record is from RNAcentral. Lineage: Bacteria; Pseudomonadati; Thermodesulfobacteriota; Desulfuromonadia; Geobacterales; Geobacteraceae.
GCCACCGUAGCACAGCUGGUAGUGCAGCCGAUUCGUAAUCGGCAGGUCAUCGGUUCAAAUCCGAUCGGUGGCU